UGGGGAAUCUUGCGCAAUGGCCGUAAGGCUGACGCAGCGACGCCGCGUGUGGGAGGAAGCUCUUCGGGGUGUAAACCACUGUUGCCCGGGACGAACAUCCCCUUUCGAGGGGACUGACGGUACCGGGCGAGGAAGCACCGGCUAACUCCGUGCCAGCAGCCGCGGUAAUACGGAGGGUGCGAGCGUUGUCCGGAAUCACUGGGCGUAAAGGGCGCGUAGGCGGCAGGAGUAGUCAAUGGUGAAAGUUCGAGGCUCAACCUCGAAUCGGCCGUCGAUACUCUCCUGCUCGAGCACAGUAGAGGCAGGUGGAAUUCCGGGUGUAGCGGUGGAAUGCGUAGAGAUCCGGAAGAACACCGGUGGCGAAGGCGGCCUGCUGGGCUGUGGCUGACGCUGAGGCGCGACAGCGUGGGGAGCAAACAG
Molecule: ribosomal RNA, 420 nt
Filed under: uncultured bacterium
Lineage: Bacteria
Description: bacterial SSU rRNA
Rfam family: Bacterial small subunit ribosomal RNA
Source: RNAcentral